UAGAUUGAAGCCAGUUANCUAGGGUA
RNAcentral lists this transfer RNA (26 nucleotides) under Canis lupus (wolf). RNAcentral's name for it is "partial tRNA-Asn". Lineage: Eukaryota; Metazoa; Chordata; Mammalia; Carnivora; Canidae. The record is from RNAcentral.